RNAcentral lists this ribosomal RNA (774 nucleotides) under uncultured Neocallimastigales. Its description in RNAcentral is "partial large subunit ribosomal RNA". It matches the Rfam family "Eukaryotic large subunit ribosomal RNA", at positions 26 to 644 of the family's 3401-position model. Lineage: Eukaryota; Fungi; Neocallimastigomycota; Neocallimastigomycetes; Neocallimastigales. The record is from RNAcentral.
CGCAUCUGUGCAUGCAGCAUAUCAAUAAGCGGAGGAAAAGAAACUAACAAGGAUUCCCCUAGUAACGGCGAGUGAAGCGGGAAGAGCUCAAAUUUGAAAUCUUAAAGGGUUUCCCUUUAUGAAUUGUAGUUUAAAGAAGUGUUUUCUGUUGAGGUUUUGGUAAAAGUUCUUUGGAAUAGGACAUCAUAGAGGGUGAGAAUCCCGUAUUUGACCUUUACUUUCAACUUUGUGAUACACUUUCAAAGAGUCGGAUUGUUUGGGAAUGCAGUCCAAAAUGGGUGGUAAAUUUCAUCUAAAGCUAAAUAUUGGCGAGAGACCGAUAGCGAACAAGUACCGUGAGGGAAAGAUGAAAAGAACUUUGAAAAGAGAGUUAAACAGUACGUGAAAUUGUCAAAAGGGAAGCGUUUGACACCAGUGCUGUUUUUCUGAAAAUCAAUUAAAGAACUGUUUAUGCUAAGUUGUUUAGACUUUAUCAGCUAACUGUUUAGUUUUGAGCUUUUCUUUAAUGCACUUUUCAGUUAACAAGUCAACAUCAAUUUCUUUUGCUGUAAAAAAGCUUGAGGAAGGUGGCUUGAGAUUCGUCUUAAGUGUUUAUAGCCUCUUGCCUAUGCAGUCGGAGAGAUUGAGGUCUGCAGCGUAGAUCCUUCGGGGCUAAAUGCAUUUGUGCUAAGUUAUAGCAUUUUAUAGACAACUUGUUGACUAUGAUUUGUCUUGUAGCUUACUCGCUUAUGUUAUUUUACCUACGCUUAGGAUGUUGACUGAUAUGUAGUCGUA